This 539-nucleotide ribosomal RNA is filed under the name uncultured bacterium. RNAcentral's name for it is "bacterial SSU rRNA". It matches the Rfam family "Bacterial small subunit ribosomal RNA", at positions 355 to 896 of the family's 1533-position model. The record is from RNAcentral.
UGAGGAAUAUUGGUCAAUGGGCGAGAGCCUGAACCAGCCAAGUAGCGUGCAGGAUGACGGCCCUAUGGGUUGUAAACUGCUUUUGUAUGGGGAUAAAGUCAAUCACGUGUGAUUGUUUGCAGGUACCAUACGAAUAAGGACCGGCUAAUUCCGUGCCAGCAGCCGCGGUAAUACGGAAGGUCCGGGCGUUAUCCGGAUUUAUUGGGUUUAAAGGGAGCGCAGGCUGGAGAUUAAGUGUGUUGUGAAAUGUAGACGCUCAACGUCUGACUUGCAGCGCAUACUGGUUUCCUUGAGUACGCACAACGUUGGCGGAAUUCGUCGUGUAGCGGUGAAAUGCUUAGAUAUGACGAAGAACUCCGAUUGCGAAGGCAGCUGACGGGAGCGCAACUGACGCUGAAGCUCGAAGGUGCGGGUAUCGAACAGGAUUAGAUACCCUGGUAGUCCGCACAGUAAACGAUGGAUGCCCGCUGUUGGUACCUGGUAUCAGCGGCUAAGCGAAAGCAUUAAGCAUCCCACCUGGGGAGUACGCCGGNNCGGUG